RNAcentral lists this ribosomal RNA (497 nucleotides) under uncultured bacterium. Its description in RNAcentral is "partial 16S ribosomal RNA". It matches the Rfam family "Bacterial small subunit ribosomal RNA", at positions 28 to 507 of the family's 1533-position model. The record is from RNAcentral.
GACGAACGCUGGCGGCGUGCCUAAUACAUGCAAGUUGAGCGAUGAAGAUUGGUGCUUGCACCAAUUUGAAGAGCAGCGAACGGGUGAGUAACGCGUGGGGAAUCUGCCUUUGAGCGGGGGACAACAUUUGGAAACGAAUGCUAAUACCGCAUAACAACUUUAAACAUAAGUUUUAAGUUUGAAAGAUGCAAUUGCAUCACUCAAAGAUGAUCCCGCGUUGUAUUAGCUAGUUGGUGAGGUAAAGGCUCACCAAUGCGAUGAUACAUAGCCGACCUGAGAGGGUGAUCGGCCACAUUGGGACUGGGACACGGCCCAAACUCCUACGGGAGGCAGCAGGAGGGAAUCUUCGGCAAUGGACGAAAGGCUGAACGAGCAACGCCGGGGGAGGGAAGAAGGGUCUCGGAUCGUAAAACUCUGUUGGUAGGGAAGAACGUGGGUGAGAGUGGAAAGCUCAUCAAGUGACGGUAACUACCCAGAAAGGGACGGCUAACUACGUG